Cyprinus carpio (common carp) is the source of this 1608-nucleotide long non-coding RNA. NCBI's taxonomy places the organism in Eukaryota, Metazoa, Chordata, Actinopteri, Cypriniformes, Cyprinidae. The record is from Ensembl.
CCGUGACCGACCCUGCAGGACUUUUGUCGUCUUGACAACCUAUACUUAUUUCGAUUAGGUACAAAAGCAAGAAAAAGAAAAUAUGGGGUGGAGAGGCUGUCUGAUCUGAAUGAAUGAGACACAGAGCUGUUUACAGGAGGAGGUGUGGUUGAAUCCUCCAGUGUGGUGUUUUGUAAUGUUGUGAUAUGCUGGCAUGGGCAUCUGGAGUGGCAAGGGAGGCGUGACCUCAAGGAAUGUGGGGAAUUUUUUUGUGUAAACUGAAGUGAGCCAGAUUUUUUGCUCUAAGAUGCCACGGAGUGCUCUUAUGACCACAAAGACUGUUUUGGGAUGCUGCUGACCAUACUACUGUAGUGUAGGUUAUUAUUACAGUGAAAGCUGCAAGGCUAAAGACCAUAGUGUUUUGGUUUAAGGAUAAGGUGUCGUCUAUGGACACUGGAAUUAUGGGAUGGAGCUCCAUGGACAACGUUCUGGCAUUGAGUUGGCAACUUCUGCACUUCUUUCAGGCUUUCAGCCUUCCAUGUUCCAGCAGUCCAUCCUCUGUCCAUGUGCAGGUGGCGUUUCUGUGUUUUCCAUCUCGGACAGAUCAGUUUUAUACACUUUUAUUGGGAAACAAGGUGCCAUGCAAACACCAUUCCUCUCACAUGCUCACAUGCUCUUAAAAAUAAAGGAUUUGUACUGCCAUUGAUGGUUCCAUGAAGAUUAUUUAGCAUCUGUGGAACCUUUGAAUGGUUCUUUAAAGUUUCCAUUGGACAAAAAAAAAGUGCUAAGGGAAAUGGUUCUUUUAAGAAAUGUUCACUGAAAGGUUCUUCAGGGAACCCAGAAUGGAACUUCUUUGGCAUCUCGGUCUUAUAAGAGUGCACACUGAUAAUAUUGUGACCCUGGACCUCUAAACCAAUCAUAAGUAGCACGGGUAUAUUUGUAGCAAUAGCCAACAAUAUAUUGUAUCAGUCAAAAUUAUCGAUUUUUUUUUUAUGCAAAAAAAUCAUUUGGAUAAGAUCAUGUUCCAUGAAGAUAUUUUGUAAAUUUCAUCCUGUAAAUAUAUCAAAACUUAAUUUUUGAUUAGUAAUACGCAUAGCUAAGAACUUCAUUUGGACAACUUUAAAUGUGAUUUUCUCAUUAUUUUGAUUUUUCUGCACCCAUAGAUACCAGAUUUUUAAAUAGUUGUAUCUCAGACAAAUAUUGUCCUAUCCUAAAAAACAUACAGCAAUGGAAAGCUUAUUUAUACAGCUUUCAGACGAUGUUUACAUAUCAAUUUAAAAAAAUGGACACUUAUGACUGGUUUUGUGGUCCAAGGUCACAUAUGAUUAAUUGAGUCUCUCCCCCUCUGUCAGGUGCUGAGCAGUACUGCAGUGUGUGAAGACGUGUGUGAGUGUGUAAUGAAGUUCAGAGCACCACAAGUUUCUGAGGAGCUGGGAUUCAGUCUACAAUCAUACAAUGAUACAGAACUGCUGGAUGCCAAGACUUUCCACCUUGGUAACUCUGAAGACAGAGAAAUUGAAUGUUACCUAUGGUCAAACACACUAUUUUCCUAUUUAAUACUGUAAAGUUGCUUUGACACAAUCGUUAUUGUUAAAAUCGCUAUAUAAAUAAAGGUGACUUAACUUGACA